GACGAACGCUGGCGGCGUGCCUAAUACAUGCAAGUUGAGCGCUGAAGGUUGGUACUUGUACCAACUGGAUGAGCAGCGAACGGGUGAGUAACGCGUGGGGAAUCUGCCUUUGAGCGGGGGACAACAUUUGGAAACGAAUGCUAAUACCGCAUAAAAACUUUAAACACAAGUUUUAAGUUUGAAAGAUGCAAUUGCAUCACUCAAAGAUGAUCCCGCGUUGUAUUAGCUAGUUGGUGAGGUAAUGGCUCACCAAGGCGAUGAUACAUAGCCGACCUGAGAGGGUGAUCGGCCACAUUGGGACUGAGACACGGCCCAAACUCCUACGGGAGGCAGCAGUAGGGAAUCUUCGGCAAUGGACGAAAGUCUGACCGAGCAACGCCGCGUGAGUGAAGAAGGUUUUCGGAUCGUAAAACUCUGUUGGUAGAGAAGAACGUUGGUGAGAGUGGAAAGCUCAUCAAGUGACGGUAACUACCCAGAAAGGGACGGCUAACUACGUG
This 497-nucleotide ribosomal RNA is filed under the name uncultured bacterium. RNAcentral describes it as "partial 16S ribosomal RNA". It matches the Rfam family "Bacterial small subunit ribosomal RNA", at positions 28 to 507 of the family's 1533-position model. The record is from RNAcentral.